Non-coding RNA from Chlorocebus sabaeus (green monkey), 1767 nucleotides. The record is from RefSeq and is a predicted model, not a curated record. NCBI's taxonomy places the organism in Eukaryota, Metazoa, Chordata, Mammalia, Primates, Cercopithecidae.
AAGCAGUCGUUUACUAUGGCCGAUGAUCUGGAGCAGCAGCCUCAAGGCUGGCUGAGUAACUGGCUGCCCACGUGGUGCCCCACUUCCAUGUCUCAGCUGAAGAAUGUGGAAGCCAGGAUCCUCCAGUGUCUCCAGAAUAAGUUCCUGGCCAGAUAUGUGUCCCUCCCAAACCAGAAGAAGAUCUGGACAGUGACUGUGAGCCCCGAGCAAAAGGACCACACCCCCCUGGUGAUGGUGCAUGGUUUUGGGGGCGGUGUGGGCCUCUGGGUCCUCAACAUGGACUCACUGAGUGCCCGCUGCACACUGCACACCUUCCAUCUGCUUGGCUUCGGGCGAUGCUCAAGGCCAGCAUUCCCGAGGGACCCGGAGGGGGCUGAGGAUGAGUUUGUGACAUCGAUAGAGAUGUGGCGGGAGACCAUGGGGAUCCCCAGCAUGACCCUCCUGGGGCACAGUUUGGGAGGAUUCCUGGCCACUUCUUACUCAAUCAAGUACCCUGAUAGAGUUAAACACCUCAUCCUGGUGGACUCAUGGGGCUUUCCCCUCCGACCAACUAACCCCAGUGAUAUCCGUGCACCCCCAACCUGGGUCAAAGCUGUGGCAUCUGUCCUAGGACAUUCCAAUCCAUUGGCUGUUCUUCGAGUAGCUGGGCCCUGGGGGCCUGGCCUGGUGCAGCGAUUCUCGCUGGAUUCAAACGCAAGUUUGUAGACUUCUUUGAAGAUGAUACCAUAUCAGAGUAUAUCUACCACUGCAAUGCACAGAAUCCCAGUGGUGAGACGGUAUUCAAAGCCAUGAUGGAGUCCUUUGGCUGGGCCCAGCGCCCUAUGCUGGAGCGAAUUCACUUGAUUUGAAAAGGUGUGCCCAUCACCAUGAUCUAUGGGUCCAACACCUGGAUAGAUACCAGUACGGGAAAAAAGGUGAAGACGCAGCGGCCGGAUUCCUAUGUCGGAGACAUGGAGAUUGAGGGUGCAUCUCACCACGUCUAUGCUGACCAGCCACACAUCUUCAAUGCUGUGGUGGAGAAGAUCUGCGACUCAGUUGACUGAGUCGCUCUCUGAAGAGGAAGAGGAGAAAGCCAGAGAGUCACUCUUGCCUCCCUGUCUGCUUACUCACCCACUCUGUCCUUUCCUCACCAACUAACAUGUGCCAGCCAGGCAGUCUUAGGCUGUUCCCAGAACAGGACCACAGUGAAAAGAACACUCUUGAUCCCACACUGAAGGCUGAAGGCAGAAGCCACAAGAGGCCUUCAGUGCCACCCCUGUGGAAGAACAUCAAGGGUUGCACAAUGUCACCCAUCCACUUCUUGCCAAGUGUUACCCAGAUGGUGGAGGAUGUGAAGGGAUUGCACCUAGCCACAUUCACUCUCUCUGUGGCCUUUCUUCCUCUAGGCAAAGAAGGGCUUCCAGUGGCCUUUCCUAGCUCUGCAGUGUUUGUGGGAUAAGUUCCCUGCAAGAACACCUUCCUCCUCCAUGCCCCACUUCACCCCAUCCCAUACCAGUUCCAUCCAGGGUCUGGUUAACCGCCAAGAGCAGGUCCUAGAGUUCCCUUCACCUGCAGAGUCCUUUUCAUGACCUAGAAGGUCUUAUUCAAAGCCCUCAUUGACAGAGGAGGAAACAGGCCAAGGCAGGACAUGGCUGGACCAUGGUGAUACAGCUCUGUGUGAUUCAAGUUCUGGCUAGAGCCCAGGUCUGCCGACACCCUGUGCUUGUUGCACACUUGAUUUGCUAAGGCUCGAGACAGGCACUGUUGCCAUGGGGCUGGUCCUGGUCA